AGCUAUUACAGCUCCUUUGGAAUUUGUCUAGGUUUUCUGACUUUGGUCGGAAAACCCAU
Small nuclear RNA from Rattus norvegicus (Norway rat), 59 nucleotides. Ensembl annotates it as U7 small nuclear RNA. Lineage: Eukaryota; Metazoa; Chordata; Mammalia; Rodentia; Muridae. The record is from Ensembl.